CCAGUAGAGGGCGGCAUUUGUUUUGAAUUGCAUGGAAUGUCGUGAACUUUCGGUCAGACAUGAUUCGGAAUGUGAAUUUUGUUUCACGUGUUUUUAAUGUCCGGAAUGUAUUUGUUCCACUAGUGGCAUCAGUUACAUUUAAUCCACUCAUUGGGUUGCAGGUACAUGCGCAAGCAUUCUCCAACAGCAGUGAUGAGGUAGAAAAGGCAACUGCAGCAGCUGCUCGUUUCAAGUAUGCUCAGCCAGAGCCGACCAUCUUCAGCAAGAUUUUGGAUAAAACCAUCCCUGCCGACAUUAUCUAUGAGGAUGACAGGUGUAUUGCUUUUCGAGAUGUCAACCCAGUUGCACCAGUCCACUUUCUAGUUAUACCAAGAAUAGUGAUUCCAAGACUUAGUCAAGCAGACGACAGUGAUACACAGUUUCAAUGGGACCUCAGCAAACAAACCUUCGGGUUCAGAGGCUUCUAGGCCAUCUUUUAACAAUAGCAAGGAAAACAGCUGAAGCAGAAGGUCUACAGGAAGGGUAUAGAGUAGUGAUAAAUGAUGGAAAGGAUGGUUCUCAGUCAGUGUACCACCUACAUGUCCAUGUGAUGGGUGGAAGACAGAUGUCAUGGCCACCUGGAUAGAAGUUGGACACCUGGAAUAGGGGUUGGGCCACAUGGAUAUAGGUUGUCCCUCUGAAUAGGGGUUGGCAACUUGCAUAGACAAUGACUUAUCAUUAUGCAGAUUAUGUAAAUUUAGAAGAUUGUAUUGGCUUCUUUAUGAACCGUUUUUAUGUUAAUUUUGUAAUGUGCAAUGCACUAUGACUCACCAAUUAAAUUAUGAUGUUACUUUUUAAUUUAUUUAGAUUAGUAUCCUUCAAAUAUGUAGAACAAUUGGUGUCUGGGACUUUUUUUUGCAUUUCCUCUGUUAUUCGUGUCUUGAUAAUGAUUUUGUUUUCAUCCUGUUGAUGUUUAUAAUUUUAGGUUGAUAUAAGCCUUACAAUACAAUAAAUAAUAAUAAUGUUAUAAUUGCAUGUUGUAGUUUUGUGAUUUUUUUUUACAAGAACUCUGCACUAUAAAUCAACAGAAAAGAGCAUGUACUAAAGAUAAAUAGAAACAACAAAUACAACAUUAAAUAUGGUGUGAUAAAACCAAUUAAGGCUGAAGUAAAAAAAAAAAAAAUAUUAUAUAACAACAAAUUGUAGUCCAUGUAAAAGGAUGUUCUUAUGUGUGUGAAAACCUGAUUAUAUACGUAGUACAGUACUGCCAGCCCCCUCCCCCCCCCCCCCCCCAAAUCAUGGGGAUGGACUUUUUGCCAAGCGCUGCCCUAUAGAUGUUGUUGCGAAGGUACCACAAACCAACAGCGUCAGUACUUUCAAACAUGCUUUUGUGAUUUGUGAAACAACACGUGUGUUUUGUGAGUUAAGCACGUUUUCCUAGCCAUGAUUGGUCAGUUAUAUACCUAUAAAAGAGGCCUACUUCCAGUAUUACCAUAGAGGCAUAUACUAAUAAGUUCAAAACACAUCGUUGUAUAUCAAAUUAAUGGGUUUUAUAUUGUGGGCCUAGUCGUUUUUACUAAAGUAC
RNA transcript from Anneissia japonica, 1564 nucleotides. RefSeq lists it as uncharacterized. The transcript has 6 exons. Lineage: Eukaryota; Metazoa; Echinodermata; Crinoidea; Comatulida; Comatulidae. The record is from RefSeq and is a predicted model, not a curated record.